GGAAAGGUGAAAAGAACCCCGAACAGGGGAGUGAAAUAGAACCUGAAACCAUACGCUUACAACCGGUCGGAGCAGCUUCGUGCUGUGACGGCGUGCCUAUUGAAUAAUGAGCCUACGAGUUACUAAUCACUGGCGAGGUUAAGUGCACGGAUGCACGGAGCCGAAGCGAAAGCGAGUCUUAAUAGGGCGUUUAGUCAGUGGUUGUAGACGCGAAACCUUGCGAUCUACCCUUGAGCAGGUUGAAGGUUGGGUAAAACCAACUGGAGGACCGAACGAAUAAGCGUUGAAAAGCUUCUCGAUGACUUGAGGGUAGGGGUGAAAGGCUAAUCAAGCUGGGAAAUAGCUCGUACUCCCCGAAAUGCCUUUAGGGGCAGCGUUGUAAUAAAGAGUCUACUGGAGGUAGAGCUACUGAUUGGAUGCGGGGGCUUCACCGCCUACCAAAUCCUGACAAACUCCGAAUGCCAGUAGUAUGAUUUACAGCAGUGAGCGACCGGGUGCUAAUGUCCGGUUACGAGAGUGGAACAACACAGACCAGCAACUAAGGUCCCCAAGAGUAUACUAAGUUGAUCUAACGAUGUUUUGCUGCAGAGACAGCUAGGAUGUUAGCUUGGAAGCAGCUAUUCAUUCAAAGAGUGCGUAACAGCUCACUAGUCGAGCGGCAAAGCGUGGAUAAUAAACGGGCAUCAAGUAUACCACCGAAGUUCUGGGCACGAAAGUGCGGUAGGGGAGCAUUCCAUUCCGCGUUGAAGCCGAACCGUGAGGUUUGGUGGAGUGUAUGGAAAAGCAAAUGUAGGCAUGAGUAACGAUAAUGCGGGAGAGUAACCCGCACACCGCAAGACCAAGGUUUCCUGAUCAACGCUAAUCGGAUCAGGGUUAGUCGGGUCCUAAGGGUAAGCCGAACGGUGAUCUCGAUGGAUAAUCGGUUAAUAUUCCGAUACUGACAUAUACCUCGAUGGAGAGACGAAGGAACGUAAGUGCCGCCACCUGACGGAAUAGGUGGUUAAAGGGCUUAGGUAUAGGGGCAGAUUAAGAGUUAGUCCUUGCUGAAACCUGACAGUACAGAGAGCCUACGGGCAAUUUGAUAGUGCACCCAAGUCGACUUCCGAGAAAAUCUUCUAAGUUAUAGUAUAUGUCACCCGUACCGUAAACCGACACAGGUGGUCGAGGAGAGUAUCCUAAGGUGCUCGAGUGAAUCACGGUUAAGGAACUAGGCAAAUUAACCCCGUAACUUCGGGAAAAGGGGUCCCUAUGAAAGUAGGGCGCAGCGAAGAGGUCCAGGCGACUGUUUAUCAAAAACACAGGGCUCUGCAAAUUCGAAAGAAGACGUAUAGGGCCUGACACCUGCCCGGUGCUGGAAGGUUAAGAGGGGAUGUCAUCGCAAGAGAAGCAUUGAAUCGAAGCCCCAGUAAACGGCGGCCGUAACUAUAACGGUCCUAAGGUAGCGAAAUUCCUUGUCGGGUAAGUUCCGACCUGCACGAAUGGUGUAACGAUCUGGACACUGUCUCAACCGUGAGCUCGGUGAAAUUGUAGUCCCGGUGAUGAUGCCGGGUACCCGCAACGGGACGAAAAGACCCCGUGAACCUUUACUAUAGCUUAACGCUGAAUUUGGGUACACAAUGUGUAGGAUAGGCCGGAG
RNAcentral lists this ribosomal RNA (1636 nucleotides) under human gut metagenome. RNAcentral's name for it is "bacterial LSU rRNA". It matches the Rfam family "Bacterial large subunit ribosomal RNA", at positions 508 to 2153 of the family's 2925-position model. The record is from RNAcentral.